Molecule: ribosomal RNA, 109 nt
Filed under: Lysinibacillus odysseyi 34hs-1 = NBRC 100172
Lineage: Bacteria; Bacillati; Bacillota; Bacilli; Caryophanales; Bacillaceae
Source: RNAcentral
GUAAGUGUUUAAGUUACCGUGGACCACCUGUUCCCUUUCCGAACACAGAAGUGAAACCGUCUGACUUUGUUAAUAGUGCAAGUUGUGCGAAACAACAAAUAUGCUUACU